Molecule: ribosomal RNA, 253 nt
Filed under: uncultured bacterium
Lineage: Bacteria
Description: partial 16S ribosomal RNA
Rfam family: Bacterial small subunit ribosomal RNA
Source: RNAcentral
UACGGAGGGUGCGAGCGUUGUCCGGAUUUAUUGGGUUUAAAGGGUGCGCAGGUGGCCCGGUCAGUCAGUGGUGAAAUGCGGCCGCUCAACGGUCGAACUGCCAUUGAUACUGCCUGGCUUGAGAGGAGUGGAGGCCGCCGGAACGGACGGUGUAGCGGUGAAAUGCUUAGAUAUUACAUGGAAUACCAAUUGCGAAGGCAGGUUACUACUAAUUGAUUGACGCUGAUGGACGAAAGCGUGGGGAGCGAACAGG